CAUUUCAAAGAGUUAACCAAACUUCCCAUUACCAAUAUCAGAGUAGCCUAAGAUACGGGUCUACAGAUUUUGGCUCAGUCUUUUCUGAAAAUCAGUCCCAUUUUGGUUAAAAUUGGUUGAGUCCCCCCACUAAUACAUUGUGCUACCGAAAAAUAUGGAGAAUUGUAGAUAUGGAGCGACAUAUAUGGAAGAAAAAAUAAAUUGGCUUUUGAAGAAGACGGGGAAAGGAAGCGAGCGCUACAGGAAGAACAUUCAAUUUAAGAGAAUAUUUCUUCGCAGGUUAAUUUAAUCAAGAACACCACAAAUAACGGAGUUGACACACAAAAAAAGAAGUGGCACUUUUGAAGAGUGUGUGAUACCAAUUAUUGGCAAGUGAUGCUCGAAUUGUGGAAAGAUGAAUUCCAUUUGUCUUGUUGCAGAAUUUAUUCUAGAAGUUUUGGGAAUUAAAGAGAAAGUUUGGUGUGGUUUCAUGUUGAAAUCACUUCAGCUUUUAUGUUUUAGUUAGAAUUUGUUUUAUUUGAGAUAGAACAACAAGUCCUUUGAUUUGACGGCGUCUAACUUGCAAGGAGACCUUUCUCUGCUAUG
Lycium ferocissimum is the source of this 585-nucleotide long non-coding RNA. RefSeq lists it as uncharacterized. Lineage: Eukaryota; Viridiplantae; Streptophyta; Magnoliopsida; Solanales; Solanaceae. The record is from RefSeq and is a predicted model, not a curated record. The transcript has 4 exons.